GUGGGUAUAGCUCAGUGGUAGAGUGCAUACUUACCAUGCAUGAGGUCCUGGGUUCAGUCCCCAGUACCUCCA
RNAcentral lists this transfer RNA (72 nucleotides) under Camelus bactrianus (Bactrian camel). It matches the Rfam family "tRNA". From Rfam's summary of the family: Transfer RNA (tRNA) molecules are approximately 80 nucleotides in length. Their secondary structure includes four short double-helical elements and three loops (D, anti-codon, and T loops). The record is from Rfam by way of RNAcentral. RNAcentral also lists the same sequence under 2 other names. Lineage: Eukaryota; Metazoa; Chordata; Mammalia; Artiodactyla; Camelidae.